AUCCGGCUGAUGAGUCUCACAUAGGAUGAAACACUUGUCCUAGAU
This 45-nucleotide non-coding RNA is filed under the name Schistosoma curassoni. Lineage: Eukaryota; Metazoa; Platyhelminthes; Trematoda; Strigeidida; Schistosomatidae. The record is from RNAcentral.